CAGACAUGAUGGACGUGGUCUAUGUGGCUCAGAUGAUCCAGAAGUUUUUGGGUUACGUUGACCAGAUCAAAGAGCUGGUGGAGGUGAUGGUGGACAUGGCCAGCAACCUGAUGCUGGUGGACGAGCACCUUUUGUGGCUGGCCCAGCGAGAAGACAAAGCCUGCAGUGGCAUUGUGGGUGCCCUGGAGCGAAUCGGAGGAGCUG
RNAcentral lists this long non-coding RNA (204 nucleotides) under Rattus norvegicus (Norway rat). RNAcentral describes it as "long non-coding RNA NONRATT012055". The record is from RNAcentral. Lineage: Eukaryota; Metazoa; Chordata; Mammalia; Rodentia; Muridae.